AAAAUCCGUCGACUUUAGAAAUCGUGAGGGUUCAAGUUUGGUCAGUCCCCUCUAUCCCCA
This 60-nucleotide transfer RNA is filed under the name Tirpitzia sinensis. RNAcentral's name for it is "partial tRNA-Leu". The record is from RNAcentral. Lineage: Eukaryota; Viridiplantae; Streptophyta; Magnoliopsida; Malpighiales; Linaceae.